UUGCGGUUAAAAAGCUCGUAGUUGGAUUUCUGUUGAGGAUGACCGGUCCGCUCUUUGAGCGCGUAUCUGGUUCAGCCUUGGCAUCCUCUUGGGGAACGCUACUGUGCUUGAUUGCAUGGGGCGGUAUUCAAGACUUUUACUUUGAGGAAAUUAGAGUGUUCACUGCAAGCGUUAGCAAUUGAAUACAUUAGCAUGGAAUAAUAAUAUAGGACCUUGGUACUAUUUUGUUGGUUUCUAGAACUAAGGUAAUGAUUAAUAGGGACAAUUGGGGGCAUUCGUAUUAACGCGUCAGAGGUGGAAUUCUUAGAUUGCGUUACGACGAACUACUGCGAAAGCAUUUGCCAAGCAUGUUUUCAUUGAUCAAGAACGAAAGUAUGGGGAUCGAAGACCGCUUAGAUACCGUCGUAAUCUAUACCAUAAACUAUGCCAACUAGAGAUUGGAGGUCGUUUUCUUUAUGACUCCUU
Molecule: ribosomal RNA, 465 nt
Filed under: uncultured marine eukaryote
Lineage: Eukaryota
Description: SSU rRNA
Rfam family: Eukaryotic small subunit ribosomal RNA
Source: RNAcentral